AACUAUAACAGUCGAUGAGGACAGGUUUAUAAGACUUACAGAUUUCGAUAUCCAAGUCUGGUACAUUUGUACUUUAGCUGGGUUGUUGUUGAAUGCACUGUGGCCGCCUUCACCACCUUAAAGCAGUGUUGUAUAUUACUGAGGCUG
This 147-nucleotide small nucleolar RNA is filed under the name Lachancea mirantina. Its description in RNAcentral is "Small nucleolar RNA snR4". It matches the Rfam family "Small nucleolar RNA snR4". Lineage: Eukaryota; Fungi; Ascomycota; Saccharomycetes; Saccharomycetales; Saccharomycetaceae. The record is from Rfam by way of RNAcentral.